RNAcentral lists this unclassified non-coding RNA (200 nucleotides) under fungal sp. RNAcentral describes it as "partial internal transcribed spacer region". The stretch from base 1 to 46 matches the Rfam family "Eukaryotic small subunit ribosomal RNA", at positions 1786 to 1831 of the family's 1831-position model. Lineage: Eukaryota; Fungi. The record is from RNAcentral.
AAGUCGUAACAAGGUUUCCGUAGGUGAACCUGCGGAAGGAUCAUUAUAAAUUUUUUCUACAUAUUUUUAAAAUAUGUACAAAACUUUGUAUUCAAAACCACACUCUUUAAAACCAUAUAUAAAAAAAUUUGUUUCAUAUACAUAAUUUUUUUAAAUAAAUAAUAAAAUGACAACUUUCAACAACGGAUCUCUUGGCUCUC